UACGUAGGGUGCAAGCGUUAAUCGGAAUUAUUGGGCGUAAAGGGCGCGUAGGCGGCUAGAUGUGUCAAAGGUGAAAUCCCUCGGCUCAACUGAGGAACUGCCUUUGAAACUGUCUGGCUUGAGGCCGGGAGAGGGUAGCGGAAUUCCCAGUGUAGCGGUGAAAUGCGUAGAUAUUGGGAAGAACACCGGUGGCGAAGGCGGCGACCUGGUCCGUGACUGACGCUGAGGCGCGAAAGCGUGGGGAGCAAACAGG
This 253-nucleotide ribosomal RNA is filed under the name uncultured bacterium. RNAcentral describes it as "partial 16S ribosomal RNA". It matches the Rfam family "Bacterial small subunit ribosomal RNA", at positions 524 to 776 of the family's 1533-position model. The record is from RNAcentral.